Molecule: non-coding RNA, 31 nt
Filed under: Rattus norvegicus (Norway rat)
Lineage: Eukaryota; Metazoa; Chordata; Mammalia; Rodentia; Muridae
Source: RNAcentral
GACAAACAAAUAUAGAAAUUGAUACCAAAGA